Phalacrocorax carbo (great cormorant) is the source of this 3411-nucleotide non-coding RNA. The record is from RefSeq and is a predicted model, not a curated record. Lineage: Eukaryota; Metazoa; Chordata; Aves; Suliformes; Phalacrocoracidae.
GUGAUAGCUACACCGAGAUCAAUGCCCAGCACGGCUGCCCCCGUUCAGGGCCGAGCCCGCUCUGGGCAGGAGGACGACUCCGGCGGGCUGAGGGGGCGGCCGGGGCGGCGCGGCGCUCUCCCCGCUCUCCCCCCCUCCCCCCCUCAGGGACGCGCUGAGGUGAGGGCUGCGGGGCGCCUGGCGCAGCGGCGGCCCUAAGGGUUCUGGUUUCUGCCUUCCAACUACACAGAACAGCCAGCACUACCUGGCUGUCCGCAGUGCCGAAGUGAAAGAUUUUCUUCAGCAAAUGGCCAGGGGCUUCACUGUAACUGGGUGUCCUGUGGAAGGCUGUACCUGCUUGUGGUGCGGGCAGAAGUGGCCUGUUCCUCACCGCUGGCCGCGAGGGGGAGGGAGUUGGGAGCUGUGUGGGGGUACGCGAAGGACGGUGUUGGAGGCAACAAGCAACAAUAUAUAGAAGAUAUAUAGAAGUGCUGUAAGUAGGGGUUGAAGAAAACGAGGAAUUUCCUUGAGAAAAUUAGGGCAUUUUGUGAGUAGCACUGAGGAGAGAAAAUUAGAAGUUGGGAGCAUGAGGCUACCUGAAGAAACUGGAGACACAUGGGAGAAGUCUGGCUCAGCAGGCGGAUGAGAGAUACAGACAAACUGGAGGGAGACCAGCAGAGGACUACCUCGGAGACCUGGGGACUGGAACAAGGCAUGCAAGGAGACACUGAGGGUGCUUUUCUCCCCAGAAGAGGCUGGGGUGGGUGGAAUCCAGACUUAACUAGACAUGUUCCAGAGAAACCUGCUCUAACUUCAACGUUAGUCCUGCUUUGAGCAGGAGAUUGGAGUAGAGAUUUCCAGCAGUCACUUUCAAACUUAUUUUCUAUAAUUCUAAAGCAUUAUUUUGUAGUUUGUUUUGUUGGGUUUUUUUUGGGGGGUGGGGAGGUUGUUUGUUUGUUUAAAAAAUCACAUUGAGCACAUAAUAAAGGUCUUGAGCAGCAUCAAGCCUUGUAUAUCACAGCUUAUUUCUUGAUGCAUUAAGAAUAAUCCAUUUCUACAUGCUUUAUUUACCAAUUUUCAUCACUCAAAAUAACAACCAAGUCUUAUUUGAUAAUUCUUCAUAGAUAAAAAGAUGGUGUCUUCUAAUGACACAGAAGGCUAGAGGCUUGGAAGCAUAAGUUUGGCUUUUGUCACCCCUGAAGACAGAACCUUUUUUUUUUCCUGCUAUAGUUUCAAAGAAAAUAACAGCAUCAUAAGUUAUUUUUGACUUUCACACAGUAAACUUUCUGCAAAGGCAUUGGAGCAACAUCACUUCUGCUCUCUUUUGUGCUACCCUUAGUGUGCAGUUUGCAUAUCUGGCUGAGUCAGUCUAAGAGCUACUCCUGAUGGGAACAGUCAUCUUGAUCCUGGCUUCAGAUUCCUGCCUCUCUGUUAUCCCAGUUCAGGGAAUUAAUGUGGCAGAAGGUGAUUUCCUUUUCUGUAAGGAUAAUAUUUUCCUUGUUUCACUCCCAGAACUUAACUGAAAAAGAUCAGAAGGGUGCUUCAGACAAGGAUCUUGUCAGAAGAUGCUGGUUCAAGGGGAGGUAAAGAAUGCUAAUUGAUGUACAAUAGAACAUUUAGAAGAAAAAAAUACUAAAAGACAAUUUUAAUUGUUCUAAUUUUACACCAGUGUACAUUUUAUUGUAUCUGCUUGUAAUCUCAUCACAUUAAAUAUUUCUUGCAUAUGAAAAAAAUAAUUGAGAAUGAAAGAAAUUUUAAGCUUCAAAUUGUGCACAGGAUUAAUGUUUUGGCACUUAAUCCAAGCAUCUAAAUAGUCUAAAUAAGUAUUCCUAGACGUUAUGUUGCUGUAUCCAAUAUCCAGAUAUGAUAGCCUGGGUCUUAGUUUGGCUAAUUCUGUGUACCAUAGCAAUUCUUAAAAAAAAAAAAGCCAAACUCAAAACAACUUAGAAAAUAAACUUUGACCCAUUCUUCGUCUGUAGAAUGAUUUACAUUAACAAUACAUUAACUAUUAAAAAGAAGAGAGCAUAGAACAGAAAUCUUUUGUAUCUCCAGUGUAAACAUGGUAAACUUUUUUUUAAAUUAAGCUGCGGCCCAGUGUUCUGUAUUGUCCUUAUUAAAAAACAAAGGUCUGGCAACUUUUUUCUUUGAAAUACUGGAAUGACCUAAAGGCUUGGAAUUGAGAUUUGAUGUUGGCAGGAAAGCAGCCUGCCUGUUGAGCAUGUGCUUUUUGUUAUUUCUGUGACAAAUCUACAUAUUUAACCAAGUUUUAACCCUUUUGGGCAUAACUCCCAGUAUGAUCUCUGCCUGCUGUUAGCAAAAUUUUUGAUAAUUCUACUCCCUGAUUAUUCCCAUAACCUCUUUCUGCACGGAGUAUAUGCAUACCCGCUCCACAGAGCUGUCGGGUACGCUCUGUGGCCUUAGGUGUCUUAAUGUGACUAGACUGCAGGUACCUUUCAACGUAAACAUAGUGGCAUAAUGAAUUCAGUCAUCUUUAACUGUUGUUGAAGGUGAUUCAACUGAAGCUAACUGGCUCAGGAAGUCCAUUUCACUUACUGGGACUUGAGGAUGGUAAAUAAUUAGUAAAAGUAGUAACAUCUUAAAAUUAUCACAGCUGUUUCUGAAGUGUUUGACCACAGCUGGAGAGGCCCAGUAGAUGAAUUUCUUGGCAAGCUGGUUAAAGAGUUUACUGCAUCUGUCUCUCUGCUCUACAACUCAGCUGGCAGUGCCCGUCCCAUAACGGGGCUGCAGAACCAAAGGAAUGUUGGCUUUGCAGUCAUUGCAGUUGACAGCUCUGUAUAUUAAACUUUAACAAACCGCAGCUUAAUUUCACAUGCUCAGCAGUGAACUCUAGUAGUUUUCCCCCAGGUUUUGUUCUGAGGAAUUAGCAUAAGAAAUUACGACCUAAGCUGUAGAUGUGGCUAGCAUGAAAAAAAGUACAGUGUGUAAAAGGUUGGCCUUAUUUGAUGUUACCAAUAGUUAAUGGUUAUAAAGCAUUUGCAGUUAGUCAGCCUUUUCACCUGCUACUGAGAGAGUUAUGAGACAUGACAGUUAUAUCUGAUUAUGAUAGUUUAAGGAACAUAAUCUGCCUGAGGGAUUCUGCAAAACCACUGAAUUGCAAAAGUUCUGAACUUUCCUUGUAAAACAGAGAUUUCUCUUCACAUUAUCAGGUUUACAUGUGAACCACCUUAUGAGUUACAAUAAGAUAGCUGUAUAAAUUAAUUAUUUUCAAGGCUUUAACAUCAAUUCUGCUCUCUGUAAUUCCUAUCGCUCCUUGUAGUAGUAUGUUGUUAAGUAAGUAUUAAGUGUAAUGAUUUUGUAAUCUAGGAUUUUUGUAAGAAUCCAGAUGUUUUGAAAAAAGAAAAUAAGUCAUUCACUGCGAACAUCAGUUGAAUGUUGACCUUCCUCAGGCCUUAAUAAACUUUAAUAAUUAUA